This is a long non-coding RNA of Capsicum annuum, 635 nucleotides long. RefSeq lists it as uncharacterized. The transcript is spliced from 3 exons. NCBI's taxonomy places the organism in Eukaryota, Viridiplantae, Streptophyta, Magnoliopsida, Solanales, Solanaceae. The record is from RefSeq and is a predicted model, not a curated record.
UUUACGUGUUUAAUUUAUUUGGAUUCUAUAUCCCUCUCUUUAAAAGCUUUUCUUUCUUUCUGUCAAUCUAUUUACAGCUUUUGUUUUCAACCACUUGCUUUUUCCCCCCUCCCUCUCUUGUAUACUUUAAAUUGAUUUAAUCCUCCUUUUUCCCUUUGUUUCUUUGUUGUUCUUCAUUCAGCUAUAUAUACAUAUAGAUUGGAUUUUUAUAUCUUCUUUGUGAGGUUUGAUCCCUAGGUAAAAUAGAUAUUUGCUACAAUUGUCUUUUUCUAUUCAUUUAACAAGAUGUCGCUUAUGCCAAAUUAGAUUCAGGUAAAAGAAUAAAGAAAGAAGAGAAUUGAGGUGGAUGUGAUCACCAUUGAAGACUCAGAUGAUGAGUCCAAAACAAUCUAAGCAUAUGAUGUAGUUUUUGUGUUGUUUCUUCUUAAUAAAGGUUGUAAAGACUGUUAUCAAAAUGUUAGUGUCUUAUUAAAUAUGGGGGAAAUAUGAUGUAGUUGCUUUUUUAUAUCAUCUAGGACUACUGGGUUGUCCCUUUAUCCGUAGUAUUAAUAUAUGUAUGUUUUGCUGUUCUGAACAAAGUCAAUUGUUAUACAUUUAGCAUAUGUCGAUGAUAUAGUAAUUUCAAUGUCUAGGGA